Non-coding RNA from Elaeis guineensis (African oil palm), 2034 nucleotides. NCBI's taxonomy places the organism in Eukaryota, Viridiplantae, Streptophyta, Magnoliopsida, Arecales, Arecaceae. The record is from RefSeq and is a predicted model, not a curated record.
CGAUUCAUAUGAGUCUUUUUGGUUGUCGCACUCCUUUGGCAUAUCCCGGAAGCAAAGUUUUUCAGUGUAGAUGUCGAAGAUUGAAGUACAUAAAUAAGGCUGGGUAUUAUGCCGACUUCCUGGAGAACAGUUCUUCGCCGACUUCUGGUGAAAAAGAUGUCGCAUAGACGCUCAGGAUUAAGAGGUCGCGUAAGGUCUUUGUAACGGUAACGGCUACAAGGCCCAUGGGAGUCGCAGUGCUACCGAUGGUUGUCCUAUAUUACCCAUUCGCUCGGUUCUCCCUCCGGCGUCUCCUGAUACGAGGGCGGUUCUUGGCAUUUGAGGAGACUUUUUGUAGCUUAAAAGUGUUCGUGAAAUCAACUCGUCUCGUAUCUCCUCUCCUCUGCUUUUCUUCUCUUCUUGAACGAUGGGCGAUGCUGUCCCGUGGUCAACCAGUAUGCAGCCAUUGUUGGAUGGAGAGGUCACCGAGGGGGAAGGGGAGGGGACUCUUUCGAUUCCGGUCUCAUCCAUUCAACAAUCCCAUGGAGACUCCGAGCCGUCGGUCUUUUUCUUUUCUUCUUCUUCGUAGCUUCGUUUUCUCUUUCUUUUCUUCUUUUUUGCUUUUCUUCUUCAUUUUUUGUGUGGCAGCAUUUUAAGGUUUAUAGGAAGAGGCUGUGAUGAUUCCUUGACGAGGGUUUUGCUACGUUGCGACGGCUAUUUCUAACGCAAGGCAAUCUUGGAUGGUCUGCUGCUGUUCUGCGGGCAACUGGAUGCAGCCGCUGAGGCUUAUUGUUCCGAGACUUGAAGAUUAACAAUACAAUGCUGGAUGAAGUGAUGCAUGGAUGGGAUUUGUUAGAUGCAAGAUUCAUCCGGGCCUCAGAAUCCUGUUUUGCAGCUCUUUCCCUAAUCCAUAUUCAUUAGACAUGCAUAGUACUAUUAUAUGUGGAAACUAAGAAAUUAUUAGUCGUGGAGAUUUUUAUCAUAUUAAGCCCAAUUAAGCUCAAAUUCAAGCUCAAAUUCGUCACAUUCAUGGCAAGAAAUGUUGGGAAUAAAGAACAAGCCAAGAAGAACAAAAAAUCAGCCAAAAUCACCUAAAAAUGACCUUCGAUGCAUGGUGAACCAGCUGCUUGGUCCACGAGCGGUCCAUAAAAUAGGCGUUGGUCUACAGUCGCCGUCCACAAGGAUGAUGGCUGGCUUUUGCACUAAUCGACGGUUGAGAUCGUGCUAAACACGCGAUCGGACGGCCACUAGCUCUCUAACCCAUAUCCAGCAAUGGUGGCCCACUUUCAGUGCGCGAUCCAAUGGCUGGCAGCGAUUUUCAAGGGCGAUCCAAUGGCUGUGGUUAUUUUCGAUUGGCAGAACUUAAACAGAAGGAUUUUUGAGCACCAUCCGACGGUCCACAACCAUCCACAGAUGCGAUCCGACGGCUGAUGUCGAUUCUGACCUGAUUAAGGCCUGAUGUGGUGAUUUUUUGGGCUGAUCUAGAACGUUGAUGCGAGAUCUGAUGGCCAAGAAGCUGUGACGUGGGUUGGACAUGACUUCGACAUUAUUUGGGACUCCAUUUUCCACCAAAAUUUGGAAAAAAUCCAUCUAUAAAAGGGGAUCAAUUUGCUGGUAGUUAGGGUAUAUAUGUCAGAAUUCCCUAGUUUGAAUUAUGUUACAAAGGUCAAGUUUUAUUUUUAUAUUCAAAUCUAUGCCUAUGCAGUGCCUUUUUUUCGAUAUGGUUAAUAUUUCCCUGUUUGGAGAGUAGUGCAUGGGGAUUACCAUCCAGCUACUCAUCUUUGAGUAGUACGAUUACCCUUUGUGGCUCAAUAAUUUUGCGUGGAUGAGAGUGUGAUCUCAUGCUUUUGUUUUUGGUUAAUGUUGAACCAAUUUUAUCUUGCAAUGGAGUUUAUGCAACUCUCAACAUAUUGUUUCCAUUGCAGUUUCACUCAGUAUCAAAAUCUUGUGACUGGAGAUAUGACUAUGAUACCAAGCACUUAGAAGUGUAAAAAUAUCGCUUCCACUGUUUGUGGCUCAACAUUGUUUGCACUGCAGAAAGUACCUUCUGGCUAC